UCCUGGCUCAGAUUGAACGCUGGCGGCAUGCUUUACACAUGCAAGUCGAACGGCAGCACGGGCUUCGGCCUGGUGGCGAGUGGCGAACGGGUGAGUAAUGCAUCGGAACGUGCCCAUGUUGUGGGGGAUAACUACGCGAAAGCGUGGCUAAUACCGCAUACGCCCUGAGGGGGAAAGCGGGGGAUUCUUCGGAACCUCGCGCAAUUGGAGCGGCCGAUGUCAGAUUAGCUUGUUGGUGAGGUAAAGGCUCACCAAGGCGACGAUCUGUAGCGGGUCUGAGAGGAUGAUCCGCCACACUGGGACUGAGACACGGCCCAGACUCCUACGGGAGGCAGCAGUGGGGAAUUUUGGACAAUGGGGGCAACCCUGAUCCAGCCAUGCCGCGUGAGUGAAGAAGGCCUUCGGGUUGUAAAGCUCUUUCAGCCGGGAAGAAAACGCACGCUCUAACAUAGCGUGUGGAUGACGGUACCGGACCAAGAAGCACCGGCUAACUACGUG
This 498-nucleotide ribosomal RNA is filed under the name uncultured bacterium. RNAcentral describes it as "bacterial SSU rRNA". It matches the Rfam family "Bacterial small subunit ribosomal RNA", at positions 17 to 507 of the family's 1533-position model. The record is from RNAcentral.